GACUACCCGGGUAUCUAAUCCUGUUUGCUCCCCACGCUUUCGUGCAUGAGCGUCAGUACAGGCCCAGGGGGCUGCCUUCGCCAUCGGUGUUCCUCCUGAUAUCUACGCAUUUCACUGCUACACCAGGAAUUCCACCCCCCUCUGCCGUACUCUAGCCUUGCAGUCACAAACGCAGUUCCCAGGUUAAGCCCGGGGAUUUCACAUCUGUCUUACAAAACCGCCUGCGCACGCUUUACGCCCAGUAAUUCCGAUUAACGCUCGCACCCUACGUAUUACCGCGGCUGCUGGCACGUAGUUAGCCGGUGCUUCUUAGUCCGGUACCGUCAUCCAGCGACUAUGUUAGAGUCGCCGAUUUCUUCCCGGCCGAAAGAGCUUUACAACCCGAAGGCCUUCUUCACUCACGCGGCAUGGCUGGAUCAGGGUUGCCCCCAUUGUCCAAAAUUCCCCACUGCAGCCGCCCGUAGG
RNAcentral lists this ribosomal RNA (465 nucleotides) under uncultured Thauera sp. RNAcentral describes it as "partial 16S ribosomal RNA". The record is from RNAcentral. Lineage: Bacteria; Pseudomonadati; Pseudomonadota; Betaproteobacteria; Rhodocyclales; Zoogloeaceae.